Molecule: long non-coding RNA, 1137 nt
Filed under: Lupinus mutabilis
Lineage: Eukaryota; Viridiplantae; Streptophyta; Magnoliopsida; Fabales; Fabaceae
Description: partial ncRNA
Source: RNAcentral
UUUAAAUACAGAGGAAAGUGUUUUUUUGUUCUCGGUUAAUCGAAGCUGGAAGGUUCCAGAGAGAGAGAGAGAGAGCGAUGAAUAGGGUGUGGAAAGGUUUCAUGCAUUGGUGUUGCAGACUUAAGAUCAUGUGCCACAAUCUCAGUGUUUUCAUUGAUGCAUGCAAACAUGUGGAAGUAUUGAAAUCGAAGCGACUGCUAGGAACCUCAUGGCAAUAUCUGUCUAUGUUAAACAGUGGAGGCUCAGAUAAAGCCAGCUUCAGGAUCUUCAAAAUAAUUGAAACUGGAGGAUUCGGAGAAUCUAACUGGGGACAUAUUCCACCCGAAGAGAGAACCAUACCAGUUGACUAAAUACCCAUGUGGAAUUAACUUGAGCUAAGUUAAACCUAUAUAUGAACUGGUUCUUUCUCUUGGAAUUAACUUCAAAUUUACUUUUCUGUUCUUAAUAUUCAACACUUUUUUAUUAAAAUCGUUUAUGCAUUUUACAUUGUUUGCAGUUUUUAUUAUUAUAGUAAGGUUGCAUGAAAGUGACAUGAUCUAAUUACCUCUAUAUACAAUUGUCUGAUAUUCUUCAAUGAUUCCAACAGUCACUAGUUGCAUGACUUAUGCAUGUUCUUCAUGAAAAUGGAACACGAGGUGAAUCUAACAAUUCCUUUUUGACUCACAACAUAGUCUUCUACUUCAUUUUCAGUGCUAACUGCUAAGCUGUCACAUGGUAUACUGUAAAAUUUCUAGCCAAAUUUCAAUGUUCAUGUUUCACAUUGUUCACCCAAGGCAUUUUAUGCAGCCCACCAAUGCAUACUGGUAUAAUGAUGGUUAUGCAGUUAGGCAUAACCAGUUAACAAGUCAAGCUUGUUAGUUUCCAGGUCCUCACAAUUUCUAGAAUUUAACUCAGGACUUUUAAUAAGAUUGAAGAACAUCAGACCAAAUGACCACGUAAAAGCAACAAUAUUAUUAAAAAUGCUUUUCUUAUGCAGUAUUAAAAUGGGGCAUCAUAUACAGUUUUUCUUAUUAAAAUUUGUUGUGCACAGGGCAGAAUAUGCAGGUUUAACAAGAUGGGUAAGGCCUUAGCCAAAAACAAAAGUCUGGGGCAUUCCGAGAAUCGAACUCGGGACCUCUCGCACCCAAAGCGAGAAUC